CCUACGGGAUGCAGCAGUGGGGAAUCUUCCGCAAUGGGCGAAAGCCUGACGGAGCAACGCCGCGUGAUCGAAUGAAGGCCUUCGGGUUGUAACGAUCUGUUGACAGGGACGAAUAAGCCAUGCGAAUAGUUUGGUGUAUGACGGUACCUGUUUAGAAAGCUCCGGCUAACUACGUGCCAGCAGCCGCGGUAAUACGUAGGGAGCAAGCGUUGUCCGGAUUUACUGGGCGUAAAGGGCGCGUAGGUGGGUGCUUAAGUCAGGUGUGAAAGCUCUGGGCUCAACCUUGAGACUGAACUUGAGACUGGGUAUCUUGAGGGCAGGAGAGGAAAGUGGAAUUCGUGGUGUAGCGGUGAAAUGCGUAGAUAUUAGGAGGAACCCCGGUGGCGAAAGCAGCUCUCUGGUCUGUAACUGACGCUGAGGUUCGAAAGCGUGGGUAGCAAACAGGAUUAGAUACCCUAGUAGUC
This 464-nucleotide ribosomal RNA is filed under the name uncultured bacterium. RNAcentral describes it as "partial 16S ribosomal RNA". It matches the Rfam family "Bacterial small subunit ribosomal RNA", at positions 338 to 795 of the family's 1533-position model. The record is from RNAcentral.